RNAcentral lists this ribosomal RNA (609 nucleotides) under Klebsiella oxytoca 10-5243. Its description in RNAcentral is "bacterial LSU rRNA". It matches the Rfam family "Bacterial large subunit ribosomal RNA", at positions 1 to 652 of the family's 2925-position model. Lineage: Bacteria; Pseudomonadati; Pseudomonadota; Gammaproteobacteria; Enterobacterales; Enterobacteriaceae. The record is from RNAcentral.
UUAAGCGACUAAGCGUACACGGUGGAUGCCCUGGCAGUCAGAGGCGAUGAAGGACGUGCUAAUCUGCGAAAAGCGUCGGUAAGGUGAUAUGAACCGUUACAGCCGGCGAUGUCCGAAUGGGGAAACCCAGUGCAAUUCGUUGCACUAUCGUUAACUGAAUACAUAGGUUAACGAGGCGAACCGGGGGAACUGAAACAUCUAAGUACCCCGAGGAAAAGAAAUCAACCGAGAUUCCCCCAGUAGCGGCGAGCGAACGGGGAGCAGCCCGGAGUCUGAAUCAGCUUGUGUGUUAGUGGAAGCGUCUGGAAAGUCGCAGGGUACAGGGUGAUACUCCCGUACACUAAAACACACAGGCUGUGAACUCGAAGAGUAGGGCGGGACACGUGGUAUCCUGUCUGAAUAUGGGGGGACCAUCCUCCAAGGCUAAAUACUCCUGACUGACCGAUAGUGAACCAGUACCGUGAGGGAAAGGCGAAAAGAACCCCGGCGAGGGGAGUGAAAAAGAACCUGAAACCGUGUACGUACAAGCAGUAGGAGCCCACUAGUUGGGUGACUGCGUACCUUUUGUAUAAUGGGUCAGCGACUUAUAUUCUGUAGCAAGGUUAACCG